UUUCCGUAGGUGAACCUGCGGAAGGAUCAUUAUUGUACAACCGAGGAACGAGGGCUCUCACUGACCAACUAGCGCGUGCACACGGAAGUGCCUUUAUAUACAAAAAUCGCACGCCUCUGAGCACUAACGAGCGGAUCAAGCUAUGGCCAGUUCGGAGGGGUGCUCAGGUCUUCCCACAAACUUUGUACGCAGAGUAGUAUGUAUUUUUUGUCUUUGCGAUCACGCAAUCAAUAACACUUUCAACAACGGAUUGCUUGGUUCUCGCAUCGAUGAAGAACC
This 279-nucleotide unclassified non-coding RNA is filed under the name plant metagenome. RNAcentral's name for it is "partial contains small subunit ribosomal RNA, internal transcribed spacer 1, and 5.8S ribosomal RNA". The record is from RNAcentral.